UACGUAGGGUGCAAGCGUUAAUCGGAAUUACUGGGCGUAAAGCGUGCGCAGGCGGCUUUGCAAGACAGAUGUGAAAUCCCCGGGCUUAACCUGGGAACUGCAUUUGUGACUGCAUGGCUAGAGUGCGGCAGAGGGGGAUGGAAUUCCGCGUGUAGCAGUGAAAUGCGUAGAUAUGCGGAGGAACACCGAUGGCGAAGGCAAUCCCCUGGGCCUGCACUGACGCUCAGGCACGAAAGCGUGGGGAGCAAACAGG
This 253-nucleotide ribosomal RNA is filed under the name uncultured bacterium. Its description in RNAcentral is "partial 16S ribosomal RNA". It matches the Rfam family "Bacterial small subunit ribosomal RNA", at positions 524 to 776 of the family's 1533-position model. The record is from RNAcentral.